CACGAUAUGUCUAGAUACAACAUGGCAUCACAACAUAAAUCUAUGACUCAAGUAUUUAUUAGAGACUCAUAAAAGUCAACAUAGUGUGAUAUUACAAAUAGGGGUCACAAGACCCAACACUCAAGUCAUGCAAGGAACAAGUGGAAUGAUAACAUGUCUAGGUACAGACAUCUAAGAAGUAACAAAAGGCUGAGAAAGCCUGUCUAUAUACAAGACCCUCCAUAGGAACCAGACCUUUGUCUGCGAUUCCCUAGCUACUCGAUCAACAUAAAUCUUAUCGUCGAAUCCACUAGCACGACAGGAGUCUGCGCUACAAAAACAUAAAUUAAGCAACAGUGAGUACAUACGCACUCAGCAAGACUUACAUCAGAAC
RNAcentral lists this long non-coding RNA (373 nucleotides) under Hordeum vulgare. RNAcentral's name for it is "long non-coding RNA (HVUL_LNC009238)". The record is from RNAcentral. Lineage: Eukaryota; Viridiplantae; Streptophyta; Magnoliopsida; Poales; Poaceae.